Ixodes scapularis (black-legged tick) is the source of this 2251-nucleotide long non-coding RNA. RefSeq lists it as uncharacterized. NCBI's taxonomy places the organism in Eukaryota, Metazoa, Arthropoda, Arachnida, Ixodida, Ixodidae. The transcript has 3 exons. The record is from RefSeq and is a predicted model, not a curated record.
CGAUUUUCAACCUGAGGAUCACGGAGUUGGCCGAGGUGGUCACCAGCAGCGGAGCUCCUCGGAACCAACGCCGGACAAGUAGGUAGUCCUCUUGGUGGUCGGCAUAUGCUCGCAGAUCGUGAGGUGGUCGCCAAGUGGCAAGGAAGCACCCAUGACCUCCACAUGCUAUCGCAGAGCUGUAUCAGAGACAACUUCGGAGGAGGAACUUCAAACGGGCUCGUCAUCGUGGAUGGCGAUCGGCUACGAUGGCCGUGAUUGAUCGUGCCGUACCGCUGGGUAGACACGCCAGCGGAGUGCGCAUACAACCAGGUGCACAGAAAACUGGAAAAAAAAAGCCCGUGUGCUGGCUGCCGAGCCUGCGGGUGGUGCGCUGGGCCUCCAGACCGGUCGUGAACGAGGUGGUCCCUGCCGGCCCAGUGGUGCCGGUCGCCCUUCAGCAGCAGCUGCUGCCUCAGGCGGUCCCCCUGCCACAGGAGGAGGCCCCUCCCGACGUAGCAGCGCAGCUGCUGCACCAGGCUCCACGGGUGCCUCAUCCUCGUCCAUCGGCCAGUCCGGAGGCUCGUAGUCCUGCGUUUCUUCGGACUCCGGCACCUCAAGGAAUGCGACCCCGGGGUCCACUUCAACUUCGUAGUUCAGGACUCUGUCCUCUCCAACCUCCUCAUCAGUAAUUGGCUGCACGCUGACUGGUGCUGUGCUGGCCCUAAGGAAAAUACACCAGAAUGUCAGUCUUGUCACCCUUGUACAUAAUUUGAAACACUCUUAUUUGUAUUUCAUUCAUGCUUUUUGUGUGCAUGUGGAUCAAGCUCGACUCCUCAGCUCUCGGCCAUUGCUGCUAUUAGUUGUGAAAGCAUGUGGGCUUUAGUAAAGCCAGCCUACAGUGUGCAGGUCAAGCCCGAUCUUGACUGUUGCGGCUAUUAGUUGUGAAAACAGCUGGCUUCAUGGAGAUCCAGUGUGCAGUGUUGAUGCCGGCCAGAUAUUUCUGGUUGCUUGUCCCUACAAUUCUGUUUUAUGUCAAAGACUACCAUGUUGAGCAACAGAUCUGCUCAGGGUGAUUCCAAAUUUAGUGGUAGUGUCUACUGGUCGGUGCUUAAUAUAUUGUACUCACUGUACACCAUAUUUGAACUGACUGCUCAGGAUUACUUCUAAUUUCUUUUAUUUAUCAAUACUGUUCAUUCUUUCAAGGUGGUUUUAUUUCAGAAAAGACAUUCCUCAUGGUAUGCAAUGUGCAUGUUGGAAGUGUUGCAAGAGCUUGACGUCAGCAUAUGCUCAGCAGCAGCGAACUCAGCUGUGACAGUGAAUGCUACCUACGAAAUGAGCGAGAUUUCAGAGCACUAAUCUCGCACAAAUAUGUUUAUGCAACAGACUGUCUCAGCUUUGUGCCUUCAUUCAUUUGACUUGCCAUCUCAAUACAACGGACCUGAAGCAAAUGAGGUCCAAGCUUUGUGUUUGUGACCUUUGGGUCUACGUAGCAGUAGAAUUUUCAACAUAAAACAAUAUAUUUUUUUGCUGUUUGUCAUAGUUCAGCUUGACUUCAUAAAAGUCUAGCCUGUAUACGGUAGUCUUGCGAUAAUUCAAACUCGGAUAUUAUACUUCUGGUUAAUUCAAACAAAUUUCCUAAGUUUGGUUGUCUCGCCAUGUUCUUAGUGUAUCCAUAUGCCACUUAAACCGAAUUCCGUUUUCCUGCAAUUCAUAUUUUUUGUUCUUGCAGCCCUUUUGUUGAGUGUGCUUCUUUCCGAGCACCGGUACACUGCAGAGGGAACACCCAUGGAGCUGUUGCUUCUUUGCAAUGCACCGGUGCUCGGUGAUAAGCGCACUCAACGGGGCUCAUGCGGAAAUUUCUGCAGCAACUUGCGCAGACGCUGUGAUCUGGUAGCAUGGCGUACACCGAGCGCCGGCACAUUGCGGAGAAGCAACAGAUCCAUGGGUGUUCCCUCUGCAGUGCACCGAUGCUCAGAAAGAUGUGUACUAAACAAAAGGGCUGCAAGAACAAAAAAUAUGAAUUACAGGACAACGGCAUUGAAUUUAAGUGGCAUAGCAUGGGCAAGUCACAACGUCCUCACAAGUUGCUAUGAAAACUGUGGUGCAGUGCCCGCUUUUAUUGUUCACGUGUCCCCCGUUUAAUAGUUCACACUAGACAACUUCUUGACCCGAUGAACAAACUGAAUUUCGUUUUGAGUUGUCAUGUGCUCUUUGAACAGCCCACAACAAUGAACAUUUUUGAGGGAUAAAUAAACUUUUGUCUUACAUUUCA